GGAACCGGGAGAGGUAAGAGGUACUACAGGGGUAGGAAGUGAAAUCUUGUAAUCCCUGUGGGACCACCUGUGGCGAAGGCGUCUUACCAGAACGGGUUCGACGGUGAGGGACGAAAGCUGGGGGCACGAACCGGAUUAGAUACCCGGGUAGUCCCAGCCGUAAACGAUGCUCGCUAGGUGUCAGGCAUGGCGCGACCGUGUCUGGUGCCGCAGGGAAGCCGUGAAGCGAGCCACCUGGGAAGUACGGCCGCAAGGCUGAAACUUAAAGGAAUUGGCGGGGGAGCACAACGAACGGGUGGAGCCCUGCGGUUUAAUUGGACUCAACGCCGGACAACUCACCGGGGGCGACAGCAAUAUGUAGGCCAAGCUGAAGACUUUGCCUGAAUCGCUGAGAAGUGGUGCAUGG
RNAcentral lists this ribosomal RNA (406 nucleotides) under uncultured archaeon. Its description in RNAcentral is "bacterial SSU rRNA". It matches the Rfam family "Archaeal small subunit ribosomal RNA", at positions 595 to 997 of the family's 1478-position model. The record is from RNAcentral.